This 466-nucleotide ribosomal RNA is filed under the name uncultured bacterium. RNAcentral describes it as "partial 16S ribosomal RNA". It matches the Rfam family "Bacterial small subunit ribosomal RNA", at positions 339 to 795 of the family's 1533-position model. The record is from RNAcentral.
CUACGGGUUGCAGCAGUCGAGAAUAGUCUACAGAGGACGAAAGUCUGAUAGUGCGACGCCGCGUGGAUGAAGAAGCAUUUCGGUGUGUAAAGUCCUUUUCUGUGUGAGCAAUGUUUUCCAGGUUAAUAGCUUGGAGAAAGCGAUAUUAACACAGGAAUAAGCUCCGGCUAACUCCGUGCCAGCAGCCGCGGUAACACGGGGGGAGCAAGCGUUGUCCGGAAUUACUAGGCGUAAAGGGUAAGUAGGCGGAAUUGUAAGUCAGAUGUUAAAGGCACCGGCUCAACCGGUGUAUGGCAUUUGAUACUGUAAUUCUAGAGUAAGGUGGGGGAAGACGGAAUUCCUGGUGUAGCGGUGGAAUGCGCAGAUAUCAGGAGGAACACCAGAGGCGCAGGCGGUCUUCUAUACCAUUACUGACGCUCAAUUACGAAGGUGUGGGUAUCAAACAGGAUUAGAUACCCCCGUAGUC